UUUUUUGGUUCCACUUUCAUGCAUUUUAACAAGUAGUUUAACAUAUUUAAACUAUAUACACCCUUAUCACUCUAAGAUCCUUCCAUAAUCUUUCAUUAAAACAACAUCCACCAAUAAAACAAUUCCAAACAAACUAGAAAGCUUUUAAAAGAAAGAAAAUGAAAAAGUUGAUAUAGUUAGGGUGCUUACUAGAUGCUCAAGAUCAAAGAUUUCUUCUCCUUCUUUUCUUUUAGUUCCACCGAAUCCAAGCUCUCUCACUCUUUCUCUCUUACUUUCCUUUUCUCUCUUU
RNAcentral lists this long non-coding RNA (289 nucleotides) under Panax ginseng (ginseng). RNAcentral's name for it is "long non-coding RNA (PGIN_LNC001608)". Lineage: Eukaryota; Viridiplantae; Streptophyta; Magnoliopsida; Apiales; Araliaceae. The record is from RNAcentral.